CCUACGGGAGGCUGCAGUGAGGAAUAUUGGUCAAUGGGCGCGAGCCUGAACCAGCCAAGUAGCGUGAAGGAUGACUGCCCUACGGGUUGUAAACUUCUUUUAUAAAGGAAUAAAGUGAGGCACGUGUGCCUUUCUGUAUGUACUUUAUGAAUAAGGAUCGGCUAACUCCGUGCCAGCAGCCGCGGUAAUACGGAGGAUCGAAGCGUUAUCCGGAUUUAUUGGGUUUAAAGGGAGCGUAGGUGGGUCGUUAAGUCAGUUGUGAAAGUUGGGGGCUCAACCGGAAAAUUGCAAUUGAUACUGGCAGUCUUGAGUACAGUUGAGGUAGGCGGAAUGCGUGGUGUAGCGGUGAAAUGCUUAGAUAUCACGAAGAACUCCGAUUGCGAAGGCAGCUUACUAAGCUGCCACUGACGUUGAUGCUCGAAAGUGUGGGUAUCAAACAGGAUUAGAUACCCCAGUAGUC
Molecule: ribosomal RNA, 460 nt
Filed under: uncultured bacterium
Lineage: Bacteria
Description: partial 16S ribosomal RNA
Rfam family: Bacterial small subunit ribosomal RNA
Source: RNAcentral